RNAcentral lists this ribosomal RNA (497 nucleotides) under uncultured bacterium. RNAcentral's name for it is "partial 16S ribosomal RNA". It matches the Rfam family "Bacterial small subunit ribosomal RNA", at positions 28 to 507 of the family's 1533-position model. The record is from RNAcentral.
GAUGAACGCUGGCGGCGUGCCUAAUACAUGCAAGUCGAGCGAACGGACGAGAAGCUUGCUUCUUUGAUGUUAGCGGCGGACGGGCGAGUAACACGUGGAUAACCUACUUAUAAGACUGGGAUAAUUUCGGGAAACCGGAGCUAAUACCGGAUAAUAUUUUGAACCGCAUGGUUCAAAAGUGAUAGACGGUCUUGCUGUCACUUAUAGAUGGAUCCGCGCUGCAUUAGCUAGUUGGUAAGGUAACGGCUUACCAAGGCAACGAUGCAUAGCCGACCUGAGAGGGUGAUCGGCCACACUGGAACUGAGACACGGUCCAGACUCCUACGGGAGGCAGCAGUAGGGAAUCUUCCGCAAUGGGCGAAAGCCUGACGGAGCAACACCGCGUGAGUGAUGAAGGUCUUCGGAUCGUAAAACUCUGUUAUUAGGGAAGAACAUAUGUGGAAGUAACUGUGCACAUCUUGACGGUACCUAAUCAGAAAGCCACGGCUAACUACGUG